Molecule: ribosomal RNA, 94 nt
Filed under: Vicugna pacos (alpaca)
Lineage: Eukaryota; Metazoa; Chordata; Mammalia; Artiodactyla; Camelidae
Source: RNAcentral
CAUCAACAGUGUACAAGAGUCCCUUUUAUUCCCACAUCCUGGUCAACAUUUGUUAUUUGUUGUCUUUUUGGUAACAGCCAUUCUGACAGUUAUG